This 950-nucleotide ribosomal RNA is filed under the name Microbacterium sp. SG71. RNAcentral describes it as "bacterial SSU rRNA". It matches the Rfam family "Bacterial small subunit ribosomal RNA", at positions 94 to 1058 of the family's 1533-position model. Lineage: Bacteria; Bacillati; Actinomycetota; Actinomycetes; Micrococcales; Microbacteriaceae. The record is from RNAcentral.
AGUGGCGAACGGGUGAGUAACACGUGAGCAACCUGCCCCAGUCUCUGGGAUAACAGUUGGAAACAGCUGCUAAUACCGGAUACGAACCGCGAUCGCAUGGUCAGUGGUUGGAAAGAUUUUUCGGUCUGGGAUGGGCUCGCGGCCUAUCAGCUUGUUGGUGAGGUAAUGGCUCACCAAGGCGUCGACGGGUAGCCGGCCUGAGAGGGUGACCGGCCACACUGGGACUGAGACACGGCCCAGACUCCUACGGGAGGCAGCAGUGGGGAAUAUUGCACAAUGGGCGAAAGCCUGAUGCAGCAACGCCGCGUGAGGGAUGACGGCCUUCGGGUUGUAAACCUCUUUUAGCAGGGAAGAAGCGAAAGUGACGGUACCUGCAGAAAAAGCGCCGGCUAACUACGUGCCAGCAGCCGCGGUAAUACGUAGGGCGCAAGCGUUAUCCGGAAUUAUUGGGCGUAAAGAGCUCGUAGGCGGUUUGUCGCGUCUGCUGUGAAAUCCCGAGGCUCAACCUCGGGCCUGCAGUGGGUACGGGCAGACUAGAGUGCGGUAGGGGAGAUUGGAAUUCCUGGUGUAGCGGUGGAAUGCGCAGAUAUCAGGAGGAACACCGAUGGCGAAGGCAGAUCUCUGGGCCGUAACUGACGCUGAGGAGCGAAAGGGUGGGGAGCAAACAGGCUUAGAUACCCUGGUAGUCCACCCCGUAAACGUUGGGAACUAGUUGUGGGGUCCAUUCCACGGAUUCCGUGACGCAGCUAACGCAUUAAGUUCCCCGCCUGGGGAGUACGGCCGCAAGGCUAAAACUCAAAGGAAUUGACGGGGACCCGCACAAGCGGCGGAGCAUGCGGAUUAAUUCGAUGCAACGCGAAGAACCUUACCAAGGCUUGACAUAUAGAGGAAACGGCUGGAAACAGUCGCCCCGCAAGGUCUCUAUACAGGUGGUGCAUGGUUGUCGUCAG